UAGGACUGGGAGGCUCCCCUCUGUCUGGACCGGAGGCUGGAGGGAGCAAAGAGCUGCAGGAAGCUAGAAGAAACAUCACAAACAGAUGUGUUGUUAACUUUGUGAUGUGAAGCUUAUCACCACUUUACUACUCAGUUGCCACAGUUCUCCAGCUACCCGCUGCCAGCAGAGGGCGCCACGCGCACAAGGCCCUGAACCUGCAGCUAAAUGAAAACAUGACUUUAAUCACAUUCUCACCACCUCUCCAGCUGAAGAGAAGAGCCGUUUGCACGACACUGAUGUCUGACUAAUAAAGAUAUCAUAUUGGAAUUGCGACUUGUCAAAAUGUAGUUUUAGUCUUUAAUUACACUUUGAAUUUGUCAUAAAUACAUUACCGAUAUAUGUAAUGUGAAACUUGUCUAUCUUAUAGAUCAUCUACCAUCUUCUGACCGCUUGCCACGUUUAUAAAGCUCUGAAGUAUUAAAACAACCGUCCGUUCAAACUGCAGAUAAACCGCUCGGCAGUCACGUGACGUAUCGACGCCUCUCGCGCUCAUUGGUCACGUGAUUCGGAACGCGCUCGAGAUUCUGCUUGACGACACUUCCGCUUCAAAAGAUCCACGCUGAGUCGAGUGGGAGGUCUCGAGUUGGACUUCUCCAGGGUCCUGCACCGUGCUUGCUCUCUGACAGACGUUUAAAAAAAUGCUGCAAAAGUUUCUCUUCUGGAAGUGUUUCAACAUUUGUUAGACACAGUGUGAAAUAUGAAGCUAAAGUUAUUCUACACGAGUUUCAUGGUUCAGUGUAAUUCUUGUGAUCAGACUGAUCAAUAACUACAUAAAUAACACGUGGCUGUUUUCUCUCCUCCACCUGAGCCUGGUUCUGGGUUAUUAGUAAUUUCUGGACGUGAUCUAUCCAAGAAGCUCAACUAAAACAUGCUUCUUAUGUGUCUCCUGCUGCACGGGUGCCUGAGCUUCCGUGGCUGCAGUUGUAACAUGUCAGUAGAACUGAACUGGUCGUCUUUGACCCUGUCGACCGUUUGGUCCUGCAGCUCAUAAGAUUCAUGGUCAUGAACAAAAGGACACACAAGUUUAGGGUCCACGUCGAUCUACAGGAUGAGGGGAGGUGGAGAUUUGCAGCAGCCAGCAGAAGGUGGAUAGAAGACGGCACUGUCCUCUGGGUAAAAGGAGAAUCAACACUAGAAGCAUGAUAAGUGAAGCAAAGGUGGGGGAAGUUUGUGCAGACAGCAAGGUGGCUAAAGAGCCGCCGCUGUCAGACGUCAGUGACAGUGAUGACGGCAUGUCAGACGGUAGCGACGUAUCCACUGUGAAACAACUGACAGCAGUCAGGAAAAAAGGUAUAUUCAGCAAAGAUGUUAAAGUCGUUCCUGGCAGAAAAAAAAGGUUGUUACGCAUCAGCAAGAAGCCAUAUGAGGAACAGAGACGAGUCUGGUCUCACAGACCAGGAAAUAUACAGACUGAAAAAAAAUUGGUUCUGAAGGUGAAACGUCAUCUUAGCAAUGAUGAUUAAGACCGCACAGGUAAAUUCUGAGCCAUCAGUCAAGGAAUACCAGAGCUGAUGGAGUGUAGGGGCAGUCUUCUGAUGACAGGUGCAGCUGUGGAGGCUGGAGAAGUUCAUCCAAGGUUUCCUUGACAACAGAGACCAGAUGAUGACCAUAGGACCCAUAGAGACGUCAUUAUUUGUGUUUCGGAGGCUCAGUGCAGUAACUCGUCGCCUGAGCAGUAAUUUACAUAGUGACAUAAAGUGGUGAUAAUCAUAAACUGACAAUGUAGAGGCAUAUGUUAACAAUACAUCUGUUAAUAAUGCUUCUUGCAGCCUGCACCUCUUCGAUUCCUCCAACCUCCAGUGCAGACGAAGAGGAGCCUCCGGAUUCCAACCACAUAGAGGAAGUGACUGGAUCACUGCCUCCUCUGUGCUGCUGGCUUUGGAAGCUCUUCAGCUCAAUGUUGACCUCCAUCUGAGCAGAAGACAGUCAAGGCGAGACAUCAAGAAUCAGUUUCAUGGAUAUUGUUCUGAUACAAGCUUCAAUAAAUAAAUUUUUUAAUGUUAA
This is a long non-coding RNA of Betta splendens (Siamese fighting fish), 2046 nucleotides long. RefSeq lists it as uncharacterized. The transcript is spliced from 6 exons. The record is from RefSeq and is a predicted model, not a curated record. NCBI's taxonomy places the organism in Eukaryota, Metazoa, Chordata, Actinopteri, Anabantiformes, Osphronemidae.